CCUACGGGGGGCAGCAGUGGGGAAUAUUGGGCAAUGGGCGCAAGCCUGACCCAGCAACGCCGCGUGAAGGAAGAAGGCUUUCGGGUUGUAAACUUCUUUUCUUUGGAACGAAUAAAUGACGGUACCAAAGGAAUAAGCCCCGGCUAACUACGUGCCAGCAGCCGCGGUAAUACGUAGGGGGCAAGCGUUGUUCGGAAUGACUGGGCGUAAAGGGUGUGUAGGUGGUUUGAUAAGUUAGAUGUGUAAUACCCAGGGCUUAACUCGGGUGCUGCAUCUAAAACUGUUAGACUUGAGUACUGGAGAGGAUAGUGGAAUUCCUAGUGUAGCGGUGGAAUGCGUAGAUAUUAGGAGGAACAUCAGUGGCGAAGGCGACUAUCUGGACAGCAACUGACACUGAGGCACGAAAGCGUGGGGAGCAAACAGGAUUAGAUACCCUUGUAGUC
Molecule: ribosomal RNA, 443 nt
Filed under: uncultured bacterium
Lineage: Bacteria
Description: partial 16S ribosomal RNA
Rfam family: Bacterial small subunit ribosomal RNA
Source: RNAcentral